CACCGGCAGCUCUAGUGGUAGCAGUUUUUAUUGGGCCUAAAGCGUCCGUAGCCGGUUUAAUAAGUCUCUGGUGAAAUCCUGUAGCUUAACUGUGGGAAUAGCUGGAGAUACUAUUAGACUUGAGACCGGGAGAGGUUAGAGGUACUCCCAGGGUAGAGGUGAAAUUCUGUAAUCCUGGGAGGACCGCCUGUUGCGAAGGCGUCUAACUGGAACGGUUCUGACGGUGAGGGACGAAAGUUAGGGGCGCGAACCGGAUUAGAUACCCGGGUAGUCCUAACUGUAAACGAUGCGGGCUUGGUGUUGGGGUGGCUUUGAGCUGCUCCAGUGCCGAAGGGAAGCUGUUAAGUCCGCCGCCUGGGAAGUACGGUCGCAAGACUGAAACUUAA
Molecule: ribosomal RNA, 386 nt
Filed under: uncultured methanogenic archaeon
Lineage: Archaea; Methanobacteriati; Methanobacteriota
Description: bacterial SSU rRNA
Rfam family: Archaeal small subunit ribosomal RNA
Source: RNAcentral